This 253-nucleotide ribosomal RNA is filed under the name uncultured bacterium. Its description in RNAcentral is "partial 16S ribosomal RNA". It matches the Rfam family "Bacterial small subunit ribosomal RNA", at positions 524 to 776 of the family's 1533-position model. The record is from RNAcentral.
UACGUAGGGUGCAAGCGUUGUCCGGAAUCAUUGGGCGUAAAGAGCGUGUAGGUGGCUCGGUAAGUCCGCUGUGAAAGUCCAGGGCUCAACCCUGGAACGCCGGUGGAAACUGUCGAGCUCGAGUCCGGAAGAGGCGAGUGGAAUUCCUGGUGUAGCGGUGAAAUGCGCAGAUAUCAGGAGGAACACCAAUGGCGAAGGCAGCUCGCUGGGACGGUACUGACACUGAGACGCGAAAGCGUGGGGAGCAAACAGG